Molecule: ribosomal RNA, 799 nt
Filed under: uncultured Glomus
Lineage: Eukaryota; Fungi; Glomeromycota; Glomeromycetes; Glomerales; Glomeraceae
Description: SSU rRNA
Rfam family: Eukaryotic small subunit ribosomal RNA
Source: RNAcentral
AUCAACUUUCGAUGGUAGGAUAGAGACCUACCAUGGUGGUGACGGGUGACGGAGAAUUAGGGUUCGAUUCCGGAGAGGGAGCCUGAGAAACGGCUACCACAUCCAAGGAAGGCAGCAGGCGCGCAAAUUACCCAAUCCCGACACGGGGAGGUAGUGACAAUAAAUAACAAUACGGGGUUCUUUCGGAUCUCGUAAUUGGAAUGAGUACAAUUUAAAUCUCUUAACGAGGAACAAUUGGAGGGCAAGUCUGGUGCCAGCAGCCGCGGUAAUUCCAGCUCCAAUAGCGUAUAUUAAAGUUGUUGCAGUUAAAAAGCUCGUAGUUGAAUUUCGGGGUCAAUAAGUUGGUCGUGCCAAUGGUAUGCACUGGCUUUAUUGAUUCCUACCUCUUGACGAACUGUGAUGCCAUUAAUUUGGUGUCGCAAGGAAUCAGGACUGUUACCUUGAAAAAAUUAGAGUGUUUAAAGCAGGCUCACGCUUGAAUACAUUAGCAUGGAAUAAUGAAAUAGGACAUCCGAUUCUAUUUUGUUGGUUUCUAGGAUCGAUGUAAUGAUUAAUAGGGAUAGUUGGGGGCAUUAGUAUUCAAUUGUCAGAGGUGAAAUUCUUGGAUUUAUUGAAGACUAACUACUGCGAAAGCAUUUGCCAAGGAUGUUUUCAUUAAUCAAGAACGAAAGUUAGGGGAUCGAAGACGAUCAGAUGCCGUCGUAGUCUUAACCAUAAACUAUGCCGACUAGGGAUCGGAUGAUGUUAAUUUUUUAAUGACUCAUUCGGCGCCUUACGGGAAACCAAAGUGUUUGGGUUC